This 428-nucleotide ribosomal RNA is filed under the name uncultured archaeon. RNAcentral describes it as "bacterial SSU rRNA". It matches the Rfam family "Archaeal small subunit ribosomal RNA", at positions 474 to 903 of the family's 1478-position model. The record is from RNAcentral.
UACCAGCUCUUCGAGUGGUGUGGAUGUUUAUUGGGCCUAAAGCAUCCGUAGCUGGCUGGGCAAGUCCCCUGUUAAAUCCACCGAUUUAAUCGUUGGAGUGCGGGGGAUACUGUUCGGCUAGGGGACGGGAGAGGCAGACGGUAUUUUCGGGGUAGGGGUGAAAUCCUAUAAUCCCGGGAAGACCACCAGUGGCGAAGGCUGUCUGCUAGAACGCGCCCGACGGUGAGGGAUGAAAGCUGGGGGAGCGAACCGGAUUAGAUACCCGGGUAGUCCCAGCUGUAAACGAUGCAGGCUAGGUGUUUGGGCGGCCACGUGCCGCUCUAGUGCCGCAGGGAAGCCGUUAAGCCCGCCGCCUGGGGAGUACGGCCGCAAGGCUGAAACUUAAAGGAAUUGGCGGGGAGCACCACAAGGCGUGAAGCUUGCGGUUC